This 253-nucleotide ribosomal RNA is filed under the name uncultured bacterium. RNAcentral's name for it is "partial 16S ribosomal RNA". It matches the Rfam family "Bacterial small subunit ribosomal RNA", at positions 524 to 776 of the family's 1533-position model. The record is from RNAcentral.
UACGUAGGUGGCAAGCGUUGUCCGGAUUUACUGGGCGUAAAGGUCGUGCAGGCGGUUUGUUACGUGCAGGGUGAAAGCUCCCGGCUCAACUGGGAGAGGUCCUUGCAUACUGGCAAACUCGAGGGAGGCAGAGGAAAGUGGAAUUCCCGGUGUAGUGGUGAUAUGCGUAGAUAUCGGGAGGAACACCUGUGGCGAAGGCGGCUUUCUGGGCCUUACCUGACGCUGAGGUGCGAAAGCGUGGGGAGCAAACAGG